Molecule: ribosomal RNA, 128 nt
Filed under: uncultured eukaryote
Lineage: Eukaryota
Description: partial small subunit ribosomal RNA
Rfam family: Eukaryotic small subunit ribosomal RNA
Source: RNAcentral
CCCUGCCCUUUGUACACACCGCCCGUCGCACCUACCGAUUGAAUGGUCCGGUGAAACCUCCGGAUCGGCGCGCAGCGCCCGCAAGGGUGCCUGCCGCUGAGAAGCUGGUUAAACCUUACCAUUUAGAG